UAACGGCUGAACCAGCAACUUGGAGGAAUGUAUAGCGAAAGCUAAUUGUAUUAGCAGGCAAUGGUUAAUACAAUAUCGACUAUGUCGACUAAAGUUCUAGGUAGAGUAAUGAUAAUGACAUUUUUUACCUAUGUGUCUUGACCAAGUCACGUGCCAGCAGUCGCGGUAAUACGUGGAAGACGAGUGUUAUUCAUCUUUAAUAGGUUUAAAGGGUACCCAGACGGUAUAUUUAGCCCAAAAAAGGUACUAAAUAAACUAGAGUUUAAUGGGAGGGGAUUUCAGUUAGAACUAAUGGUGUAGAGAUGAAAUUCUAUCAUACCAAGAGGUAACUGGUAACGGCGAAAGCAACCCUUUAUGCAAAAACUGACGUUGAAGGACGAAGGCUAGUGUCACCAAAAGGAUUAGCUACCCCAGCAGUGCUAGCAGACAACGCUGAAUGCCAUAGAUUAGAUUAUAUUUCUUCUAUAAAUGAAAGUGUAAGCAUUCCACCUCAAGAGUAAUUUGGCAACAUUGGAAUUGAAAUCAUUAGACCGUUUCUGAAACCAGUAGUGAAGUAUGUUGUAUAAUUAGCCAGUCCGCUAAAAACCUUACCACAAUUUGAAUUUUUUUUAUAAUUAUACAAGCGUUGCACGGCUGUCUUCAGUUAAUGUCGUGAGAUUCUGGUUAGUUCCAUUAAAUUAACGUAAACCCUUACUUUAUUUUUAUAUAAAGUAGUUCACCGCUAUAUUGGAUAUGAUAGAAGGGACUAAGACAAGUCAUCAUGGCCUGAAUAUUGUGGGCUAUAGACGUGCCACAUAAGCCUAUACAAAGGGAUGCGAAAUUGCGAAAUUGA
RNAcentral lists this ribosomal RNA (832 nucleotides) under Umbilicaria aprina. RNAcentral's name for it is "SSU rRNA". It matches the Rfam family "Bacterial small subunit ribosomal RNA", at positions 377 to 1266 of the family's 1533-position model. The record is from RNAcentral. Lineage: Eukaryota; Fungi; Ascomycota; Lecanoromycetes; Umbilicariales; Umbilicariaceae.